GGUUCGAUCAUGGCUCAGAUUGAACGCUGGCCGGAUGCUUUACACAUGCAAGUCGAACGGCAGCACGGACUUCGGUCUGUUGGCGAGAGUGGCGAACAGGUGAGUAAUGUAUCGGAACGUGCCUAGUAGCGGAUAACUACGCAGCCAUAGCUAAUACCGCAUACGCCCUUCGAGGAAAGCGGGGGGCCUUCGGGCCUCGCACUAUUAGAGCGGCCGAUAUCGGAUUAGCUAGUUGGUGGGGUAACGGCUCACCAAGGCGACGAUCCGUAGCUGGUUUGAGAGGACGACCAGCCACACUGGGACUGAGACACGGCCCAGACUCCUACGGGGAGGCAGCAGUGGGGAAUUUUGGACAAUGGGGAAGUGAUCCAGCCAUCCCGCGUGUGCGACGAAGGCCUUUCGGGUUGUAAAAGCUUUUGGCAGGAAAGAAACGGCACGGGAUAAUACCCGUGCAACUGACAGCCUGCAGAAUAAGCACCGGCUAACUACGUGCCAGCAGCGCGGUAAUACGUAGGGUGCAAGCGUUAAUCGGAAUUACUGGGCGUAAAGCGUCGCAGACGGUUCGGAAAAAAGAAAGAUGUGAAAUCCCAGAGCUUAACACGGAACUGCGUACAACUACCGAGCUAGAGUGUGUCAGAGGGAGGUGGAAUUCCGCGUGUAGCAGUGAAAUGCGUAGAUAUGCGGAGGAACACCGAUAGCGAAGGCAACCUCCUGGGAUAACACUGACGCUCAUGCACAGCGUGGGGAGCAAGAAAACUAUGGGAUUAGAUACCUGGUAGUCCACGCCUAAAGCGAUGUCAACUAGCUGUUGGGGCCUUCGGGCAGCAGUGGCGCAGCUAACGCGCGUGAAGUUGACCGCCUGGGGAGUACGGUCGCAAGAUUAAAAACUCAAAGGAAUUGACGGGGACCCACAAGCGGUGGAUGAUGUGGAUUAAUUCGAUGCAACGCGAAGCCUUACCUACCCUUGACAUGUCUGGAAUCCCGAAGAGAUUUGGGAGUGCUCGCAAGAGAACCGGAACACAGGUGCUGCAUGGCUGUCGUCAGCUCAUGUGUCGUGAGAUGUUGGGUUAGUCCCGCAACGAGCGCAACCCUUGUCAUUAGUUGCUACGAAAGGGCACUCUAAUGAGACUGCCGGUGACAAACCGGAGGAAGGUGGGGAUGACGUCAAGUCCCCAUGGCCCUUAUGGGUAGGGCUUCACACGUCAUACAAUGGUCGGGACAGAGGGUCGCCAACCCGCGAGGGGUAAUCCCAGAAACCCGAUCGUAGUCCGGAUCGCAGUCUGCAACUCGACUGCGUGAAGUCGGAAUCGCUAGUAAUCGCGGAUCAGCAUGUCGCAGUGAAUACGUUCCCAGGUCUUAUACACACACCGCCCGUCACACCAUGGGAGUGGGUUUUACCAGAAGUAGUUAGCCUAACCGUAAGGGAGGGCGAUUACCACGGUAAGUUCAUGACUGGGGUGAAGUCGUAACAAGGCUGGC
This 1479-nucleotide ribosomal RNA is filed under the name uncultured Bordetella sp. Its description in RNAcentral is "partial 16S-23S ribosomal RNA intergenic spacer". It matches the Rfam family "Bacterial small subunit ribosomal RNA". The record is from RNAcentral. Lineage: Bacteria; Pseudomonadati; Pseudomonadota; Betaproteobacteria; Burkholderiales; Alcaligenaceae.